This 496-nucleotide ribosomal RNA is filed under the name uncultured bacterium. RNAcentral's name for it is "partial 16S ribosomal RNA". It matches the Rfam family "Bacterial small subunit ribosomal RNA", at positions 29 to 507 of the family's 1533-position model. The record is from RNAcentral.
AUGCACGCUGGCGGCGUGCCUCAUCCCUGCAAGUCGCGCGAACAGAUAAGGAGCUUGCUCCUUUGAAGUUAGCGGCGGACGGGUGAGUAACACGUGGGUAACCUACCUAUAAGACUGGGAUAACUUCGGGAAACCGGAGCUAAUACCGGAUAACAUUUAGAACCGCAUGGUUCUAAAGUGAAAGAUGGUUUUGCUAUCACUUAUAGAUGGACCCGCGCCGUAUUAGCUAGUUGGUAAGGUAACGGCUUACCAAGGCGACGAUACGUAGCCGACCUGAGAGGGUGAUCGGCCACACUGGAACUGAGACACGGUCCAGACUCCUACGGGAGGCAGCAGUAGGGAAUCUUCCGCAAUGGGCGAAAGCCUGACGGAGCAACGCCGCGUGAGUGAUGAAGGGUUUCGGCUCGUAAAACUCUGUUAUUAGGGAAGAACAAAUGUGUAAGUAACUGUGCACAUCUUGACGGUACCUAAUCAGAAAGCCACGGCUAACUACGUG